UACGUAGGGUGCGAGCGUUAAUCGGAAUUACUGGGCGUAAAGGGCGCGUAGGCGGCCUUCUAAGUCGAACGUGAAAUCCCCGGGCUCAACCCGGGAACUGCGUCCGAUACUGGAAGGCUUGAAUCCGGGAGAGGGAUGCGGAAUUCCAGGUGUAGCGGUGAAAUGCGUAGAUAUCUGGAGGAACACCGGUGGCGAAGGCGGCAUCCUGGACCGGCAUUGACGCUGAGGCGCGAAAGCCAGGGGAGCAAACAGG
Molecule: ribosomal RNA, 253 nt
Filed under: uncultured bacterium
Lineage: Bacteria
Description: partial 16S ribosomal RNA
Rfam family: Bacterial small subunit ribosomal RNA
Source: RNAcentral